AGAGUUUGAUCAUGGCUCAGGACGAACGCUGGCGGCGUGCCUAAUACAUGCAAGUCGAGCGAAUCAAUGGGAGCUUGCUCCCUGAGAUUAGCGGCGGACGGGUGAGUAACACGUGGGUAACCUGCCUGUAAGACUGGGAUAACUUCGGGAAACCGGAGCUAAUACCGGAUAAUUUCUUUUCUCGCAUGAGAAGAGAUGGAAAGAUGGUUUCGGCUAUCACUUACAGAUGGACCCGCGGCGCAUUAGCUAGUUGGUGAGGUAACGGCUCACCAAGGCCACGAUGCGUAGCCGACCUGAGAGGGUGAUCGGCCACACUGGGACUGAGACACGGCCCAGACUCCUACGGGAGGCAGCAGUAGGGAAUCUUCCGCAAUGGACGAAAGUCUGACGGAGCAACGCCGCGUGAGCGAAGAAGGCCUUCGGGUCGUAAAGCUCUGUUGUUAGGGAAGAACAAGUACGAGAGUAACUGCUCGUACCUUGACGGUACCUAACCAGAAAGCCACGGCUAACUACGUGCCAGCAGCCGCGGUA
RNAcentral lists this ribosomal RNA (531 nucleotides) under uncultured Bacillota bacterium. Its description in RNAcentral is "bacterial SSU rRNA". It matches the Rfam family "Bacterial small subunit ribosomal RNA", at positions 8 to 522 of the family's 1533-position model. The record is from RNAcentral. Lineage: Bacteria; Bacillati; Bacillota.